CCUACGUGCGGCCGCAGUGAGGAAUAUUGGUCAAUGGGCGGGAGUCUGAACCAGCCAAGUCGCGUGAAGGAAGACGGUACUUAGUAUUGUCAACUUCUUUUGUCAGGGAACAAAGGCGGAUACGCGUCUCCGGAUGAGUGUCCCGUCAGAAAAAGCAUCGGCUAACUCCGUGCCAGCCGCCGCUGUAAUACGGGGGAUUCAAGCGUUAUCCGGAUUUAUUGGGUUUCAAGGGUGCGCAGGCGGUCGAUUAAGUCAGCGGUAAAAUCACGGGGCUCAACCACGGCUGGCCGUUGAUACUGGUUGUCUAGAGAGGGAGAGAAGGAGGCGGAAGGCGUGGUGUAGCGGUGAAAUGCAUAGAUAUC
Molecule: ribosomal RNA, 362 nt
Filed under: uncultured bacterium
Lineage: Bacteria
Description: partial 16S ribosomal RNA
Rfam family: Bacterial small subunit ribosomal RNA
Source: RNAcentral